AUUGAACGCUGGCGGCAUGCUUUACACAUGCAAGUCGAACGGCAGCGCGGGCUUCGGCCUGGCGGCGAGUGGCGAACGGGUGAGUAAUGCAUCGGAACGUGCCCAGUAGUGGGGGAUAGCCCGGCGAAAGCCGGAUUAAUACCGCAUACGACCUGAGGGUGAAAGCGGGGGACGGAAAGGCCUCGCGCUAUUGGAGCGGCCGAUGUCGGAUUAGCUAGUUGGUGGGGUAAAGGCUUACCAAGGCGACGAUCCGUAGCUGGUCUGAGAGGACGACCAGCCACACUGGGACUGAGACACGGCCCAGACUCCUACGGGAGGCAGCAGUGGGGAAUUUUGGACAAUGGGGGCAACCCUGAUCCAGCCAUGCCGCGUGCGGGAAGAAGGCCUUCGGGUUGUAAACCGCUUUUGUUCGGGAAGAAAUCCUCUGGGCUAAUACCCCGGGGGGAUGACGGUACCGGAAGAAUAAGCACCGGCUAACUACGUG
RNAcentral lists this ribosomal RNA (484 nucleotides) under uncultured bacterium. RNAcentral describes it as "partial 16S ribosomal RNA". It matches the Rfam family "Bacterial small subunit ribosomal RNA", at positions 28 to 507 of the family's 1533-position model. The record is from RNAcentral.